Non-coding RNA from Pantherophis guttatus, 1706 nucleotides. The record is from RefSeq and is a predicted model, not a curated record. NCBI's taxonomy places the organism in Eukaryota, Metazoa, Chordata, Lepidosauria, Squamata, Colubridae.
CUUGGCUUCUGUAUGCUGCAGCAGACAGUAUAUUUAUUAUUUACCCCAUAAAACAUCUAAUCUAGCCAAGCUUUAUCUGUGAGCCUCCUGCCAAGUCAAUUCCUGAAAUAGGAGUCAAAAUUUCCUGCUGGAGGAAAGCCUGACAUUAACCACUGCACCCACACUAACUGGGUUGGCUUUGAUUUUUCUAACCUAGCCAACAUUGGGGGCUUGGAAGAUGAGGAGAAGAGGCAACGAAGUCAAGGAGUGGUCAGGAACAAGGGUAAGCGAAAGGGAUUGUUUGGAAAGAAGGAUUCAAGGAAGGAAGACCAUAAAUUCUUCCUUGCACUGCAUAUUAAUUUAAGCGAGAGAAGAAUUUGAGAGGUUGUUCCCUGCUUUGGAGAAAGGCAGGCGUACCAACAAAGCUAGAUAUGUGUUCUCAGUGAGAUUCAGAUAAUGACCCAUCGGCACAUUUGAUUUAAGGCUGCUCUCCCUGGUUUGUGGUGUUUCCCAUUUCAUGUAAUGCUGCGGGAGAGGAGAUGGUUAAUUCGAUGGAAACAGCAGGAGAAAGAGACAGAUAAUCUUACCUUCGUGCUCUCUGCCAUUCUUUCCAUCCAACCUGCCUCGCAUCUGCUUCUAUUUUCAUUGUGGAAGAAAAUGGAAGGAGAGACAUUUUGAUCUGGAAAACAAUACCAGAAAAGAAAAGAAAAAGGAGCAGAACAGUUUGUCUCCUGCAGCUCUUCAAAAGUUGGCAAAUAGAAGGGAGAAAAUUUCUCUAUCAUCCAACGCAACAUAAAUAUAGUGUGAUUCCCGCAGAGUGUUGAAAAGUGACGAUUACAAACAUCGGCCACAGGAAAUGGCUGCAGAGAGACACAAAUUGUUUUUCUUCAGUCUUAAAGCAGAACUUUUCUAAAAAACAACUCUUGUUAUUUCAUAUUAAAAAUAUGAAGCCAUGGCUAAGUCAAAGAAACACCUGAGCAACUAGAGGAAACAGAGUGAAAAGCUUGUGGUGAUUUCCAAAUACACAGUACGUUGUCACCUCAUUUAUGACUAGUAAUAAACAUAACUGUAAUUAUUAAUUUUUCAGCAGUUUCCUUUUUCAUUUACAGAAUAUCACUACGUGAGCCUCCCAUCUUGAUUCACAGUUUAUGUCUUCACCAGGUAUAUAUUUAUUACCUGCUGACUUUUCACUAUCCGAGAAAUGAGAAUGCAUCCAUUUGAAACGCUGCAUUUGGCAUAUGCACAGACAAAAGAGAAUGGAUGCCUUUGAAUUUUGGAUGUGGAGAUAGUUAUGGACUGCACGAAGAACAAGUCAAUCAGUUAUGUACCAUAUGAAGGCUGACAGCUCAUCUGAAGGGAUUAUCAACAAACAGAAGGUCAUAUACUUGGAUGUAUGGACUUGAAAAACUGUUCUGCUUGAUAAGACUGAAGAACGUAGAAUGAGAGGACAAUACAUACGAUGGAGAGGCUGGAUGAAAAAGGUUACUGAGGUCUCCUCAGAAGAGCUAUGAGGUGGUGUUCAAUUGUCCAGGCAUUCAGCAGUAUUCAACACGCGGAAACAUUUUGGAACAUGAGUAUCUGGAUAUCAGGUAUCAGGUAAUCCAGAUAUCAGGUCAGGAUUUUGGACUGGAUACUAAGAGAGACUGCCAUGGGAGACUGAGGCAAGGAAAAGUUUGUUUUUUUUUAAAGUCAGCCAAAUAAAAUAUUUUCUGCUAUUGCCAAGGAAA